CAAAAACCCCGGGCUAAAUACCUUCCCAACCAGCCCCGGUAAUUCGUUAGGGGCCAACCUUUAUCCCGAAAUUAUGGGCUUAAGAGCCCGCCCAGGUGGUUUUUUUAAUUUUUAAUGUGAAAAGCCCCCGGUUCACCGGUGGGAGGGCCAUUGGAAACUGGGAGAACUUAAUCCAGAAGAGGAAAGGGAAUUUCCAGGGUACCGGGAAUUGGUAGAAAUAUGGAGGACCCCCCAGGGGGGAAGGGGCCUUUUUGUUCGUUAUUACCAUUGAGGCGGGAAACCGUGGGGAGCAACCAGGAUUAAAUACCUUGGUAGUCCCCCCGGUAAACGAUGAGUGUUAAGUGUUAGGGGGUUUCCGCCCUUUAGUGUUGAAGUUAAGGCAUUAAGCCCUCCGCCUGGGGAGUCCGCCCCCAAGCCUGAACUUCAAAGGAAUUGCCGGGGGCCCCCCCAACCGGUGGACCAUGGGGUUUAAUUGGAAGCAACGCGAAGACCCUUACCAGGUCUGGCCAUCCUCUGCCAACCUUAGAGAUAGGGUUUUUCCUUGGGGAGCAGAGUGACAGGGGGGGCUUGGUUGUCGUCAGUUGGUUUCGUGAGAUGUUGGGUUAAGUCCCCCAACGAGCCCAACCCUUGUUCUUAGUUGCCAUCAUUAAGUUGGCCCCUUUAAGGUGCCUCCCGGUGCCAACCCGGAGGAAGGUGGGGAGGACGUCAAAUCUUCAUGCCCCUUAUGCCCUGGCUUACCCCCGUGUUCCAAUGGCGGGUCCAAAGAGCUGCAAGCCCGCGAGGUGGAGUUAUUUUCAUAAACCCGUUUUCAGUUCGGUUUGUAGGCUGCAAUUCCCUUACAUGAAGCUGGAAUCGUUAGUAAUCGCGGAUCACCAUGCCCCGGUGAAUCCGUUCCCGGCCCUUGUCCCCCCCCCCCUUCCCGCCCCGUGAGUUUGUACCACCCGAAGUCGGUGGGGUACCCUUUGUAGCCAAGCCCGCCCUUAAAU
Molecule: ribosomal RNA, 986 nt
Filed under: Bacillus cereus
Lineage: Bacteria; Bacillati; Bacillota; Bacilli; Caryophanales; Bacillaceae
Description: partial 16S ribosomal RNA
Rfam family: Bacterial small subunit ribosomal RNA
Source: RNAcentral